GAUGAACGCUGGCGGCGUGCCUAAUACAUGCAAGUAGAACGCUGAAGCUUGGUGCUUGCACCGAGCGGAUGAGUUGCGAACGGGUGAGUAACGCGUAGGUAACCUACCUCUUAGCGGGGGAUAACUAUUGGAAACGAUAGCCAAUACCGCAUAAAAGUCGACAUUGCAUGAUGUUGACUUGAAAGGUGCAACUGCAUCACUAAGAGAUGGACCUGCGUUGUAUUAGCUAGUUGGUGAGGUAACGGCUCACCAAGGCGACGAUACAUAGCCGACCUGAGAGGGUGAUCGGCCACACUGGGACUGAGACACGGCCCAGACUCCUACGGGAGGCAGCAGUAGGGAAUCUUCGGCAAUGGACGGAAGUCUGACCGAGCAACGCCGCGUGAGUGAAGAAGGUUUUCGGAUCGUAAAGCUCUGUUGUAAGAGAAGAACGAGUGUGAGAGUGGAAAGUUCACACUGUGACGGUAACUUACCAGAAAGGG
Molecule: ribosomal RNA, 482 nt
Filed under: Streptococcus parasanguinis
Lineage: Bacteria; Bacillati; Bacillota; Bacilli; Lactobacillales; Streptococcaceae
Description: bacterial SSU rRNA
Rfam family: Bacterial small subunit ribosomal RNA
Source: RNAcentral